UUUAAAAUAAGUUACUUAAAAGCAUAAAGUGGAUGCCUCGACUCUAAAUUCCGAUGAAGGACGUGGUUAGCUGCGAUAAGCUUCGGUGAGCCGCUAGCAGGCUUUGACCCGGAGAUGUCCGAAUGGGGAAACCCUUCCAGAGUUAUGUCUGGAAAUGGUGCGCCCAAAAUAUUAAGCGCAUCAAGGUAACCUAGCGAACUGAAACAUCUUAGUAGCUAGGGAAAAGAAAUCAAAAGAGAUUCCCUCAGUAGUGGCGAGCGAACAGGGAAUAGCCCAAACCUAGAGCUACGGCUUUAGGGGUUGUAGGACUCCAAUAUGAAAUUUACUCCUAUUAGCUGAACACCCUGGAAAGGGUGACCAUAGAAGGUAAUAGUCCAGUAAGCGAAAAUAGGGUAAAAUUCUAGGAUGUUCCUGAGUAGGGUCAGACACGUGUAAUCUGGCUUGAAUCUGGGAGGACCACCUUCCAAGGCUAAAUAGAUUUAGAGAUCAAUAGUGUACAAGUACCGCGAGGGAAAGGUGAAAAGUACCCCGAAAGGGGAGUGAAAUAGUUCCUGAAACUUUAUGCUUAUAAAGAGUCGGAGUCCGUCUUGUACGGAUGACGGCGUACUUUUUGUAGAACGGGCCAACGAGUUAGCUGUACGGCGCUUGGUUAAGGGAGUAUUACCCGAAGCCGAAGUGAAAGCGAGGAUGAAUAAUCCGUUUGUGUCGUGCACUAGACCCGAAACUGAGUGAGCCACCCAUGGCCAGGUUGAAGCGUGAGUAAAAUCACGUGGAGGACCGAACCAACUUCUGCUGCAAAAGGAGUGGAUGAGCUGUGGGUAGCGGUGAAAAGCCUAACGAACUCAGAGAUAGCUGGUUCUCCUCGAAAUAGCUUUAGGGCUAGCCUCGUGUUAAUAGCGAUGGGGGUAGAGCGCUGUUUAGGCUAGGGGGCGAAAUAAGUCUACCAAACCUAGAUAAACUUCGAAUACCAUCGUGAAUUUCACGGGAGUCAGACUAUGACAGCUAAGUGCCAUAGUCAAAAGGGAAACAGCCCAGACCGUCAUCUAAGGUCCCAAAUAAAACUUAAGUGGUAAAGGAUGUAGGAUUGCUUAUACACCCAGGAGGUUGGCUUAGAAGCAGCCAUUCCUUUAAAGAGUGCGUAAUAGCUCACUGGUCUAUGUGAUCCUGCGCCGAAAAUAUAACGGGGCUCAAAGUUUUAACCGAAGAUACGGGUGGUGUUAAUUUUAUUAACAUCGCGGUAGAGGAGCGUUCCUGUCUGCGUUGAAGCUCAUUUGUAAAGAUGGGUGGAGCGUCAGGAAGUGAAAAUGUUGGCAUAAGUAACGUAAGUUCAAUGAGAAAUUGAACCGCCGAAUAUCCAAGGUUUCCCAAGCAAUGUUAAUCAGCUUGGGGUUAGUCGGGCCUAAGGCGAGGCUGAAAAGCGUAGUCGAUGGACAACAGGUUAAUAUUCCUGUACAACUUUGUGUUCGCCAAAACAAUAUCGGAGCGACAUUUCUUGUGAUCUGUUGGAGCUUUUGUUUCAAUAGUGAGUGAGAGAUCGAGUGAAGGUGGCGUUAGCUCAGGGGUAACGCGGUUGGAUAACUGGAGCGUGUUAAUGAAUUCACGUACAAAUUGUAAGUUUAUGCCCUUUGAGGUAAAUCCCUUAGGGUUCGCGAGCAAUGAUGUAAAAUGGACCGUCUUUGACGGUUGAUUCCAGCGAUUUCAGCUGACAAGAAAAACCUCGGUAGCGAGAACACUUUGUUUCCGUACCGCAAACCAACGCAGGUGGAUAGGUCGAGUAGACCAAGGCGAUCGAGAUAACUACUGUUAAGGAACUCGGCAAAACAGCAGGUGUAACUUCGGGAUAAACCUUGCCUGUCACUUUUUUGUUUUUUCAUUAAAGUGUUAGGCCACAGCAAAAGAUUCCACGCAACUGUUUAUCAAAAACACAGGUCUCUGCUAAGUCGUAAGACUAUGUAUAGGGGCUGACGCCUGCCCAGUGCCAGAAGGUUACGAGGAGGGGUUAACGCUCUGAAUCUAAGCCCUGGUGAACGGCGGCCGUAACUAUAACGGUCCUAAGGUAGCGAAAUUCCUUGUCGGGUAAGUUCCGACCCGCACGAAUGGCGUAAUGAUGUGGAAACUGUCUCAACAGUAGACUCGGUGAAAUUGCAAAACUGGUAAAAAUGCCAGUUAACCGUGGAAAGACGGAAAGACCCCAUGCAGCUUUACUAUAGCUUGGCAUUGGUUCUGGAUCUAAUAUGUGCAGGAUAGGUGGGAGACUUUGAAGCCUCGACGUCAGUCGGGGUGGAGUCGUCCUUGAGAUACCACCCUUAUUAUAUUUAGAAUCUAACUUGCACCAUUAAUCUGGUGACAAAGACAGUGCUUGGUGGGUAGUUUGACUGGGGCGGUCGCCUCCUAAAGAGUAACGGAGGCGCGCAAUGGUUCUCUAGGUCUGGAUGGAAAUCAGACUGAUAGUGUAAACGCAUAAGAGAGCUUAACUGCAAGACCUACAAGUCGAGCAGGUGCGAAAGCAGGUGUUAGUGAUCCGAUAGUGGCACGUGGGUGCGCUAUCGCUCAACGGAUAAAAGUUACGCUGGGGAUAACAGGCUUAUAGAUUCCAAGAGUUCAUAUCGACGAAUCUGUUUGGCACCUCGAUGUCGGCUCGUCCUAUCCUGGGGCUGGAGAAGGUCCCAAGGGUUUGGCUGUUCGCCAAUUAAAAGGGUACGCGAGCUGGGUUCAGAACGUCGUGAGACAGUUCGGUCCUUAUCUUCCAUGGUCGUAGGAUAUUUGCAGGAAUCUGUCCCUAGUACGAGAGGACCGGGAUGGACGAACCUCUGGUGUAUCUGUUGUCGUGUCAACGGCAUUGCAGAGUAGCUAUGUUCGGAAGGAUAACCGCUGAAAGCAUCUAAGUGGGAAACCUUUCCUAAGAUUAGAUAUCCCCAUUAGCCUCCCCGAAGACUACGGGGUCGAUAGGUCACAGAUGUAAGCACAGUGAUGUGUUCAGUCGAGUGAUACUAAUAGGCAAUAGACUUAUUUU
RNAcentral lists this ribosomal RNA (3013 nucleotides) under Candidatus Peregrinibacteria bacterium HGW-Peregrinibacteria-1. RNAcentral describes it as "bacterial LSU rRNA". It matches the Rfam family "Bacterial large subunit ribosomal RNA". The record is from RNAcentral. Lineage: Bacteria; Candidatus Peregrinibacteriota.